This 277-nucleotide ribosomal RNA is filed under the name uncultured prokaryote. RNAcentral describes it as "partial 16S ribosomal RNA". It matches the Rfam family "Bacterial small subunit ribosomal RNA", at positions 524 to 801 of the family's 1533-position model. The record is from RNAcentral.
CACGGGGGUUGCGAGCGUUAUCCGGAAUUACUGGGCGUAAAGGGUGCGUAGGUGGUUUCUUAAGUCAGAGGUGAAAGGCUACGGCUCAACCGUAGUAAGCCUUUGAAACUGGGAAACUUGAGUGCAGGAGAGGAGAGUGGAAUUCCUAGUGUAGCGGUGAAAUGCGUAGAUAUUAGGAGGAACACCAGUUGCGAAGGCGGCUCUCUGGACUGUAACUGACACUGAGGCACGAAAGCGUGGGGAGCAAACAGGAUUAGAUACCCUGGUAGUCCCUGAG